Molecule: ribosomal RNA, 446 nt
Filed under: uncultured bacterium
Lineage: Bacteria
Description: bacterial SSU rRNA
Rfam family: Bacterial small subunit ribosomal RNA
Source: RNAcentral
CCCAGACUCCUACGGGAGGCAGCAGUGGGGAAUAUUGCACAAUGGGGGAAACCCUGAUGCAGCGACGCCGCGUGAAGGAAGAAGUAUUUCGGUAUGUAAACUUCUAUCAGCAGGGAAGAAAAUGACGGUACCUGACUAAGAAGCCCCGGCUAACUACGUGCCAGCAGCCGCGGUAAUACGUAGGGGGCAAGCGUUAUCCGGAUUUACUGGGUGUAAAGGGAGCGUAGGCGGCGAUGCAAGUCAGAAGUGAAAGCCCGGGGCUCAACCCCGGGACUGCUCUGGAAACUGCGUCGCUGGAGUACGGGAGGGGCAGGCGGAAUUCCUGGUGUAGCGGUGAAAUGCGUAGAUAUCAGGAGGAACACCGGCGGCGAAGGCGGCCUGCUGGACCGUGACUGACGUUGAGGCUCGAGAGCGUGGGGAGCAAACAGGAUUAGAUACCCGUGUAC